RNAcentral lists this ribosomal RNA (494 nucleotides) under uncultured bacterium. Its description in RNAcentral is "partial 16S ribosomal RNA". It matches the Rfam family "Bacterial small subunit ribosomal RNA", at positions 28 to 507 of the family's 1533-position model. The record is from RNAcentral.
GACGAACGCUGGCGGCGUGCUUAACACAUGCCAGUCGAACGGAAAGGCCUGCUUUCCCUUGUGGAUUGCGGGUACUCGAGUGGCGAACGGGUGAGUAACACGUGAGUGAUCUGCCCCCAACUUGGGUAUAAGCCUGGGAAACUGGGUCUAAUUCCCGAUAGGACUGCAGGGUGGUGCCUGUGGUGGAAAACGAUUUUCUAGUGGUUGGGGAUGAGCUCGCGGCCUAUCAGCUGGUUGGUGGGGUAAUGGCCUACCAAGGCGGCGACGGGUAGCCGGCCUGAGAGGGUGGACGGCCACAUUGGGACUGAGAUACGGCCCAGACUCCUACGGGAGGCAGCAGUGGGGAAUAUUGCACAAUGGGCGGAAGCCUGAUGCAGCGACGCCGCGUGGGGGAUGACGGCCUUCGGGUUGUAAACUCCUUUCGACCGCGAGGAAGCCACCUGGUUGGAAGGGUGGUGACGGUAGUGGUAGAAGAAGCACCGGCUAACUACGUG